GGCCGGUUAGCUCAGCUGGUUAGAGCGUGGUGCUAAUAACGCCAAGGUCGUGGGUUCGAUCCCCGUACUGGCCA
Non-coding RNA from Danio rerio (zebrafish), 74 nucleotides. The record is from Rfam. NCBI's taxonomy places the organism in Eukaryota, Metazoa, Chordata, Actinopteri, Cypriniformes, Danionidae.